UACAGAGGGUGCAAGCGUUAAUCGGAUUUACUGGGCGUAAAGCGCACGUAGGCGGCUCUUUAAGUCGGGGGUGAAAUCCUGGAGCUCAACUCCAGAACUGCCUUCGAUACUGGAGAGCUUGAGUUCGGGAGAGGUGAGUGGAACUGCGAGUGUAGAGGUGAAAUUCGUAGAUAUUCGCAAGAACACCAGUGGCGAAGGCGGCUCACUGGCCCGAUACUGACGCUGAGGUGCGAAAGCGUGGGGGAGCAAACAGGG
Molecule: ribosomal RNA, 255 nt
Filed under: uncultured bacterium
Lineage: Bacteria
Description: partial 16S ribosomal RNA
Rfam family: Bacterial small subunit ribosomal RNA
Source: RNAcentral